GCCAGUGCCGCCGCCAGUCACCGCGCUCAGGGCGGCUCCGCCCCCAACGUUUACGUAAAGACUUGCGCGUCGGGAGCGGCCUUCAUUGAGCGCCGAGGCACAGUUUAUGGUUCUAGCGCCCUCUAACGCUUGGCGGUGCAAAAAGCGGCAAAGAUGAUUGAGCUCAGACUCCUUUGAAGGAUUGUGCCUGGCUAGGAGCUCUUGUUGGGGAGUGGAGGAAAACACAGAGGAUGACAACCAGAGCUGACUUCCUUUUCCGAAGACCGCAGCGAGCCUGUAGGAGUCUGAGUUCUCCAGAGAAACAGGAACAAUAGAAUGUGUACACGUAGAAAGAGGUUUGUUGUAAGGAUCUGGCUCACACAGUUACAGACACUGACAAGCCCAACUCUGAAAUGUCACCUGGCAGGUGGGGGUUCAGGAGAUCUAUCAAUGCAGUGCCAAUUCUGAAGCAACCUGCUGGAGAACUUUUUCUUACUUGAGGUGUCCUGGUUCCUGGGAACAUUCCAC
This is a long non-coding RNA of Suricata suricatta (meerkat), 507 nucleotides long. RefSeq lists it as uncharacterized. The record is from RefSeq and is a predicted model, not a curated record. The transcript is spliced from 3 exons. NCBI's taxonomy places the organism in Eukaryota, Metazoa, Chordata, Mammalia, Carnivora, Herpestidae.